Molecule: long non-coding RNA, 2033 nt
Organism: Passer domesticus (house sparrow)
Lineage: Eukaryota; Metazoa; Chordata; Aves; Passeriformes; Passeridae
Exons: 3
Source: RefSeq, a predicted model, not a curated record
GGGGCCAGGGAUGAGGGAAAGGCACUCUCCUCUCCCGCCCCACGCACCGCGGGGAGGUGACUGUCCUUAUAAAUUUGGGUUGAGACAUUUUGCCCGAGCGUCUGCAAACAUUUAGACACAGAGCCGCUGCUGCGAACUGCCAGCCCAUUGUCUGCCGGUGACACUUUUCUCCGAAAGUCACUUACCAGGGGGCCAAUGUUGAUUGAGCAAAUGAACACAAAGCGCUGAAGCCGCUGGCUGCGAAUUGUGCUGCUGUUAGUUUAAACAGGCGGCACAGAAAUGCCAUUAUCCGGGUGAUGGAGGGAGCCGGGUGGAACACUCACAGCGAGAAAACUUGCCGGCAGUGACUGGCACAGCGAGAUGGAUGGAGCGCUUGGCCUUGACUGACAUGUCACCCCGGGUCCAGCUUAUUGUACCCACACUCCACUCCUUCCACAGGGGUGGGAUCCGAGGCUUCUCCCUCACAGAAUUCCCUUCACUUCCCUCCAGCAGAAUUGAACCUGUGCUGCCCGGUACUGGCACAGCCCAGACAAAGGACACACAGCCAGGGGAUCUGCUCCAGCCCUAUCCCGUACAUUCCCAGCCCUCCAUGCCUGUACAUUCCCAGCCCUCCACGUUCUGCCUGUUUAUCCCCUCUCUGCUCUGAGGGCUGGUUUAUACCUUCUGUGGUUGGUGUGCAGGCCAGCAGAGCUGGCUGGUCAGAGGAGCUUGCUGGGCUCUUGCAGAGCUGGAGUUCCAGCUCAAGUGUGGCUGUGGGGAGGGCAUUGCCUUUCUGGUGUGUUAACACUGAAAAAAUUGCCUUCAAGCUCAGGAUCAAAGGGUCUCUCCUCCAAGCAGAGCACUCAAUGAAUCCUUCUGGCUGAUGGAAGGGCCUUGGCAAUGCCACAGCUUGGCCUGUGACAUGGCACAGGGGACAGGUAAGAGGUGUAGGAGAAGUCUCCAAGGUCUGACCGACUAUGCCUUUAGCGUUACCAACGUCAUGUAAGAGCAGCUCCGCCUUGGCUGUGUUUGCCACAUCCUUUUCCCAAGGCCUUUUCCAGCCUCUGCUACUACACUCACUGCCAUGUGUGCAGCAUCAUCCUUGGGCAUAGAGAUCUGUCCCCACGAGGGGUACAGACAUGACUCAGAGAGAAUGGCUGUGCCUGGGUUGGGUGAACUCUUUGGUGACAAAGUGGAAGAGGAAUGAAAGCCCUGAGCAUUCCAAAGGGUGGGGAAACAGGGAACGGAAUGAAAGAUGUGGAUGUUGUCUGAUCCAACAACAGAGAAAUGAACAUUUAAGAGAGAUGAAACACCUGAUAAAUUAACAUUCGUGUUAAAUAGGAUCUGGUCUGAUUACCAGGGCUGGGUAAUCUGUGAGUGUGAGGCGUUGCAGCUGUAGAUUGAGGUGUUUGCAGCAGCUGUGACUACCGAGCACAUUAGUUGUGACACGUCUGUUUUUAGAGCCAAACAAUACAACACAAUUGGACAAGGCUCAACACCCUGGGCUCUGAUGAUCUACAAAGACUUUGGUUGCUGCUGCUGCUCCUGCUGCCACUGCUUGGAUUGGGGGAAACAACCAGACAACUUAACUGCCCUGGGAAUAUGCAAAACCCAGUGAGAAGCACUCCCUGGCCUGAGAAACUUGCAGUCCUGUUAGACAAGACAGAUAGUGGCAGGGAGAGCAGGCAUGGGAAGAUGGGUGCUGGAGCAAGGACUAAUUAAACCAGGUACCUGCUCAGGAAGGACUCUUCAGGGCUCCAAGUCACCCACUGAAUUUUACAGCCUCUUUUGCUUGAUCAGUGAAUAUUCUGAUUUUUAUGACUUUUUUGUUCUGUGUGUUUCUGGUAAAUUGGGGGGUUUUGUUUGGGUUUUGAUGUUUGUUUCUUUUUGCUAUUUUUUUUUUCUGCAACACUAACUCAAUAACAAGUAAUUUCAAGCUGAUCUGAUGUCUGCUGUUGUAAGGUCGUUCUUUGGACACACUGUGAUCCUCCUGAGGGAUGGCUUUUUCCUGGUGUCAUCUGCAGCUCUCAGGCUGGCAUAUGCAGCUUGUGAAA